RNAcentral lists this long non-coding RNA (1737 nucleotides) under Anas platyrhynchos platyrhynchos (common mallard). RNAcentral's name for it is "lncRNA (ENSAPLG00000021226.1)". Lineage: Eukaryota; Metazoa; Chordata; Aves; Anseriformes; Anatidae. The record is from RNAcentral.
GGCUAUGUGACAAACUAACCCUAGAGCCAAAAUCCUCCUUGUCCUCUUACCUGGUGCCCUUUCUGCGAUGCCUUUAGGGUGAGUCAAGGCUAUGAUCUCCACCUUCUGGGGCUGGUGUUUGAGCUAUGUCCUACCUCAGUGCUGAGACUCUUUUGCCUCUGUAGAGGCCCUUUGCCAUGACGCGAGUGACGAUGAGAACUAAAAUCAACUAGCCUCUGAAACGUUCUUGUUCCCAAGCACAGUUUUUUCACUGGCUUGCUUGAACUCCUAGUUUUUGGGCGAGAAGCUAUUGUUUCUCUGUGCUUUUAAUAAGAGGCUUUCUCUGGAGCCAAGUCAGGAUGGCAAGAUUGAGCUGGGCAAGGCUAUCGAGGAGGAAAUUCAGUGUUCCCAGCUGGGUGUCUGACCCUUGGAGCCCGGGCCAACUGAUCUGAAGCGGCUGUAAAAGCUUUAUUUCGCAGCAUCGCUGUCUUCCCUGCUCGCAUUCUAGGCACGGUGUUUCUGCUGACAGCGUCUUCCACCUCCUCAGCAGAAGCUGCUUCUUUCUUUAAACGUAGUACAGGCUGGACGCAAAGAAAUCAACUGUUAGCGGUGCUUUUAGCUAUUUAAAUGGGGAGAAAAACAGCCACUGUUUCUUUCUUUGUCUUUUGUUUCUUUGGCUCCUCUCCCAUGUCCUUAAUUGCCAAGCCGCUAGCGGCUCUGGUGACGUGUCCCGUGGGUGUCUGUGCAGUGACGGGGCUGCCUCAGCCCUGUGUACCCCAGGAGAGACAUUUGGGGGGCUCUUUGCUGCUACCACAGGGCGCAACCUGCGGGUCCUGGGGCAGGCAGGAUGAGUGCUGCUGGGCCCGGAGGGUAGGCCUGGCCUGAGAGGAGUUUGGGGCUUAAAGCAGGCUUGUCCUGCCCCAGCCUUCUCCAGAACCUGUGUGCCUGGCUCUGGAAAGCCGUGACAAGACAUAAAAUGACUCGCAGCUUGCCACGAGAGCUGCGGUGGUGGAGGAAUGGCCGCCUCAAGGGGCUGAGGCCAGGCACCAUCACGGGCAGGACUCGAGAGACGAGGCACGAUCUUGGCACAGACAGAGAAGGGAAGGGGAAGCGCUGCUCUGCUGGCCCUGAGCGGUGCAGCCCCAGGAGAAAAAAAAAUCUGUGUUUCCUUCCGCUGAUGUCCACGCUGAAGGUGCAGAAGGGUUCCGUGCUGUUGCUUGGGUCAGCCUUGUUGCCAGCGUACAGAGCCGAGAUAUUCUGCGGAUAGGUGAUUUAAGCCACGUCAGAACCACCGCUGUGGCGUGUGCCAGCGUCGGACGCCCGUUCGACUGGUCGGGCGGAGCAGGUGAAUUGAAUUUGGUGCUGGGUGGCGAGGUGGUGUUGGGGGAAGAGCUAGGCUAAGGAGAGCUUCCUCUUGCUCUGCCCCUUCCCAUCUCAAAUGGCCGCUUCCUGGGGAGAUGGGCUCGUUGGGAGGUUAACUACAACGUUACAGUGAGGAUGAGGAAUCCUCUUUAGUCCCGUAGGUAUUUGCUGCCAGGCGGCAGCGUUGAUUUCAGAAAUUGUAUUUCAAAAAGGAUAAAGAAAGCAAAUCUGUAUUCUUUGACAUACCCUCUUUUCUCGGAGAGUAGAUGUAGGAGCUUCAGCAGUGCCCUUCCUCCGGAAACGAUUCCCAGUGUCUGCUCAGACACUGAGGAGGAAAAUGGAGGAGAGCCACCCGCUAUAAAUAAAGGAAAGAAGGGCUCAUGGAUUAAGGGAGAA